AAACCGGAGCUAAUACUGGAUACGAGACGUAAAGGCAUCUUUAGCGUCUGGAAAGAAUUUCGGUCUUGGAUCGGCUCACGGCCUAUCAGCUUGUUGGUGAGGUAAUGGCUCACCAAGGCGACGACGGGUAGCCGGCCUGAGAGGGUGUACGGCCACAUUGGGACUGAGAUACGGCCCAG
Molecule: ribosomal RNA, 179 nt
Filed under: uncultured Actinomycetes bacterium
Lineage: Bacteria; Bacillati; Actinomycetota; Actinomycetes
Description: uncultured actinobacterium partial 16S ribosomal RNA
Rfam family: Bacterial small subunit ribosomal RNA
Source: RNAcentral